UACGUAGGGGGCAAGCGUUGUUCGGAUUUAUUGGGCGUAAAGAGCUCGUAGGCGGUUUGGUAAGUCAGGUGUGAAAUCUCCACGCUCAACGUGGAGGGGCCACCUGAUACUGCCAUGACUGGAGUCCGGUAGAGGAGUGUGGAAUUCCCGGUGUAGCGGUGAAAUGCGUAGAUAUCUGGAGGAACACCGGUGGCGAAGGCGGCAUCCUGGACCGGUAUUGACGCUGAGGCGCGAAAGCUAGGGGAGCAAACGGG
RNAcentral lists this ribosomal RNA (254 nucleotides) under uncultured bacterium. Its description in RNAcentral is "partial 16S ribosomal RNA". It matches the Rfam family "Bacterial small subunit ribosomal RNA", at positions 524 to 776 of the family's 1533-position model. The record is from RNAcentral.